RNAcentral lists this non-coding RNA (269 nucleotides) under Paenibacillus sp. RNAcentral's name for it is "T-box sequence". It matches the Rfam family "T-box leader". Rfam says of the family: Uncharged tRNA acts as the effector for transcription antitermination of genes in the T-box leader family. T-boxes are found upstream of many aminoacyl-tRNA synthetase genes and some amino acid biosynthetic genes usually in Gram-positive bacteria. Lineage: Bacteria; Bacillati; Bacillota; Bacilli; Caryophanales; Paenibacillaceae. The record is from RNAcentral.
ACAAAUGCAGUGAUGGAGACAAGUACGCAGUGCCUGGCCAACAGGGAGGAGACGCCGCAGAUUGAGAGCGUUUCUGGGAGAGCAGAGCUGCCGAAGUUCACUCCGGAGCAGUUCCCUGAAUAUUUGAGUAGGGGAUACCGGCCGCAGACCGUUAUUUCUGUUAAAGUGAGACAGGUCUUUACCGUGCCCGAAGAGGGAAUACCUCUUUUUAUAGGGAUAGGGUACAGCUUGUCUAACAAGGGUGGUACCACGGUCUUUUCGUCCCUUAC